Molecule: long non-coding RNA, 1887 nt
Filed under: Triticum aestivum (bread wheat)
Lineage: Eukaryota; Viridiplantae; Streptophyta; Magnoliopsida; Poales; Poaceae
Description: long non-coding RNA (TAES_LNC024305)
Source: RNAcentral
UCCCACUAGUCAAAUGGGAACCAAUUACCAGGUUUGCUUUUCGGGUACCACACACCAGUUCUAUAUCUGUGCAAUUAGAUAAUUUGAUUCAAAAAGAGCCAAUAAGGCAUAAUAUUUCAUACAACAGCCAAGCAUAGUACAAUUCUGGUAUUCAGCUAUAAAAUACAACUAAAUAUACACAUAACUAGCUCCAAGCAUAACUAUCUCUAGUGAGCUAAAACGCAUUGCUGGGUGUGGUUUAUCUUCGGCAUUCUUCUUCCUAGAGCUCCUGUACACCCAACUUUGGAAGAAUGAAAGCCAACAUCUACAAAUAAUAAAUUAUGAAAAGUUAGAAACAUAAUCAAGUGAAUCCGUGAAUAUAAAAUUCUCAUAACAAUGAAAAUUUGCUGCAGAACUUUAGAUUUAACAGGAAACCAUGCAUAUAACAUUCCUAUUACAGCGAAAACUGAGAUAUAUUUCGCAAAUGAUCAAGUAACAUAUGGACAGUACAACAGGUCAGAGAGCAGCAAGACAUAAGCCGUAUGCAAAGCAGUCAAACAGUUCAGGGAACGGCAAAAAUGCUUGCAUGCAAUUGAAGUAUGUACUAGUACUAGUACAACACAAUGCCAGGUUGGAGCAAAUCAUGCUUAAGCAAACAAUGGCAGCGGCAUGGCAUAACCAAAUAAUAAUGUGAGAAAACAACUGGAUAUGAGUCGCACUUGAUCACAACAAAGAAUGUGCUAGUAGUGUGCACUCACCAAAGAAUGAAUGAAUCGACAUUGAUUUGCUACACUGCACCAUCCAAGGGGAGCUGACUUCUUCAAGGCAUCAGUUGUAUAUAGUAUAUGUGAAACAACAGAUUCAUAGUUAAAACUUAGUAGAAACAAGUGCAACACUUAGUAGAAACAAGCAUCAAUUCUAACAGGUAAAGCCCUUGGAACACACGUUGGGGAAGUAAUCUAUGGGAUGGAUUAUGAGAACUACCAGUUACUGCUUACUAAAGAGAUCUGCUGGCUACGGUAAUAACUAGUUUCACGGUUACGAUUAUAUACAUUCGAUUGCCAGCACAGCUAAAGGUAUAGCUUUUGAGUUAUUUCUGUCACUGAGACACUGACUAUCAACAGCCUAAAUCAAGCCAAUUGAUAACUGAUAUACAUAGGCACCACACUAUGAAUGAGAUAAUUUUGCAGAUGCAUAUGUUUACACUGUUCAAGUAUACUAUAUGCACCUGAAUGUAAUCAGGUGCAUAUGUUGCCAGACAAAGAUGGCAUCUGUAUAUACCUGGAAUCAAUCACAAGGUAUAGGGAGGGAAUUAGUCACAUAUAUUCUUACUAGUACUGCUAGGUUGCUAGCUAGCUGCAUGUAUCCAUGUAGUAAGCAGUCACAAGUCAGAACACACAUCUGAUGCCACCAUCUUAUCUUACACUUCAGGAACUAGUACAACAUGAUAGGAUGACAUGUGAUGCUACCAUCUUAUCUUAGAAGAAGAAAAACAACAACACAUCUAGCAAGAACGGAUUGACAAUCACCUAGUUGCCGAUCCAUGAUUUUAUAGUACGGUGCAAGAUAGCUGUCAUCAUUGAACAAUUCAAGAUUGAAGAAUUCAAAACAUCUGAAUUGCAGCAAAUUGUAAUUCUUAUUCUGCAUAACUCAUAAAUUGGGAUGCAUAGAAGCAUACUAUCAACUCUAUAGUCCUACUGAGAACCCACUACCAAGAGGGCCCAAGAACUACACAUAUUGGUGGUGCGGCCAAUAUGUACCUCAAGUACUUAUAGAUCCUGAUGAAAUAUCAUAGACAAUUAGUGAAGGUGAAUUCUUAGUUCUUAUCAUAUGCCCAUUCACAAGAAUGACUACUUGAGAGCGUAUUCAUACAUGGGAGGGAAGGAGGUUGGGACAUGUACAUCUCAC